Transfer RNA from Cavia porcellus (domestic guinea pig), 64 nucleotides. It matches the Rfam family "tRNA". From Rfam's summary of the family: Transfer RNA (tRNA) molecules are approximately 80 nucleotides in length. Their secondary structure includes four short double-helical elements and three loops (D, anti-codon, and T loops). Further hydrogen bonds mediate the characteristic L-shaped molecular structure. tRNAs have two regions of fundamental functional importance: the anti-codon, which is responsible for specific mRNA codon recognition, and the 3' end, to which the tRNAs corresponding amino acid is attached (by aminoacyl-tRNA synthetases). tRNAs cope with the degeneracy of the genetic code in two manners: having more than one tRNA (with a specific anti-codon) for a particular amino acid; and 'wobble' base-pairing, i.e. permitting non-standard base-pairing at the 3rd anti-codon position. Lineage: Eukaryota; Metazoa; Chordata; Mammalia; Rodentia; Caviidae. The record is from Rfam.
GGGGAUUUAGCUCAGCGGCAUAAGCGCCUGCCUUGCAAGCAGGCAGUCGAGAGUUUGAUCCCCG